Molecule: ribosomal RNA, 253 nt
Filed under: uncultured bacterium
Lineage: Bacteria
Description: partial 16S ribosomal RNA
Rfam family: Bacterial small subunit ribosomal RNA
Source: RNAcentral
UACGUAGGGACCAAGCGUUGUUCGGAUUUACUGGGCGUAAAGGGCGCGUAGGCGGCAAUUCAAGUCAUCUGUGAAAUCUCCGGGCUUAACCCGGAAAGGUCAGAUGAUACUGCUUUGCUAGAGUGCGGAAGGGGCAAUCGGAAUUCUUGGUGUAGCGGUGAAAUGCGUAGAUAUCGGGAAGAACACCCGUGGCGAAGGCGGCUCUCUGGGACGGUACUGACGCUGAGACACGAAAGCGUGGGGAGCGAACAGG